RNAcentral lists this ribosomal RNA (253 nucleotides) under uncultured bacterium. Its description in RNAcentral is "partial 16S ribosomal RNA". It matches the Rfam family "Bacterial small subunit ribosomal RNA", at positions 524 to 776 of the family's 1533-position model. The record is from RNAcentral.
UACGGGGGGGGCAAGCGUUGUUCGGAAUUACUGGGCGUAAAGAGCGCGCAGGCGGUCGAUUUAGUCGCGUGUGAAAGCCCCCGGCUCAACUGGGGAGGGUCACGCGAUACUGCUCGACUCGAAGGCAGGAGAGGGAAGUGGAAUUCCCGGUGUAGUGGUGAAAUGCGUAGAUAUCGGGAGGAACACCAGUGGCGAAGGCGACUUCCUGGCCUGUUCUUGACGCUGAGGCGCGAAAGCUAGGGUAGCAAACGGG